Gastrolobium bilobum is the source of this 136-nucleotide small nucleolar RNA. RefSeq annotates it as small nucleolar RNA snoR137. The transcript has a single exon. Lineage: Eukaryota; Viridiplantae; Streptophyta; Magnoliopsida; Fabales; Fabaceae. The record is from RefSeq and is a predicted model, not a curated record.
GUUGCUUCUGAAAAGCUGGGUGCCUAGUUUAUUGAUUGGUCAUUCACAGUGGGAAGCAUAUAGUUGUGGAAUUGCCAGUUUUUAACAGCAUGGUGUUUAUUUCUUUGCAUUGUGUUACCUGUCUGCUGGUAAAUAA